CUCCCAAGCCAGCCACCACAUUCCUGCCUCCUCUGUCAGAAGCCACAACAGCCAUGGGGUACCACCUGAAGACCCUCACACUCAACUUCACCAUCUCCAAUCUCCAGUAUUCACCAGAUAUGGGCAAGGGCUCAGCUACAUUCAACUCCACCGAGGGGGUCCUUCAGCACCUGCUCAGACCCUUGUUCCAGAAGAGCAGCAUGGGCCCCUUCUACUUGGGUUGCCAACUGAUCUCCCUCAGGCUAUGCACCCCAGAAUUUAUCAAUCCGGGGCGAGUACCAGAUAAAUUUCCACAUUGUCAACUGGAACCUCAGUAAUCCAGACCCCACAUCCUCAGAGUACAUCACCCUGC
Molecule: long non-coding RNA, 352 nt
Filed under: Homo sapiens (human)
Lineage: Eukaryota; Metazoa; Chordata; Mammalia; Primates; Hominidae
Description: mucin 16, cell surface associated (ENSG00000291738.2)
Source: RNAcentral